CAGCAGCCGCGGGAAUACGUAGGGUGCGAGCGUUAAUCGGAAUUACUGGGCGUAAAGCGUGCGCAGGCGGUUUUGUAAGACAGGCGUGAAAUCCCCGGGCUCAACCUGGGAAUGGCGCUUGUGACUGCAAGGCUAGAGUGCGGCAGAGGGGGAUGGAAUUCCGCGUGUAGCAGUGAAAUGCGUAGAUAUGCGGAGGAACACCGAUGGCGAAGGCAAUCCCCUGGGCCUGCACUGACGCUCAUGCACGAAAGCGUGGGGAGCAAACAGGAUUAGAUACCCCCGUAGUCCCUGUCUCUUAUAC
Molecule: ribosomal RNA, 301 nt
Filed under: uncultured bacterium
Lineage: Bacteria
Description: partial 16S ribosomal RNA
Rfam family: Bacterial small subunit ribosomal RNA
Source: RNAcentral